RNAcentral lists this ribosomal RNA (492 nucleotides) under uncultured bacterium. RNAcentral's name for it is "partial 16S ribosomal RNA". It matches the Rfam family "Bacterial small subunit ribosomal RNA", at positions 29 to 507 of the family's 1533-position model. The record is from RNAcentral.
AUUGAACGCUGGCGGCAUGCUUUACACACGCAAGUCGAACGGUAACAGGCCUUCGGGUGCUGACGAGUGGCGAACGGGUGAGUAAUGCAUCGGAACGUACCCAGAGGUGGGGGAUAACGCAGCGAAAGCUGUGCUAAUACCGCAUGUGAUCUGAGGAUGAAAGCGGGGGACCGAGCAGCAAUGUUUGGCCUCGCGCCUUUGGAGCGGCCGAUGUCGGAUUAGCUAGUUGGUGGGGUAAAGGCCUACCAAGGCGACGAUCCGUAGCUGGUCUGAGAGGACGACCAGCCACACUGGGACUGAGACACGGCCCAGACUCCUACGGGAGGCAGCAGUGGGGAAUUUUGGACAAUGGGCGCAAGCCUGAUCCAGCAAUGCCGCGUGCGGGAAGAAGGCCUUCGGGUUGUAAACCGCUUUUGGCAGGAACGAAACGGUGUCCGCUAAUACCGGGCGCUAAUGACGGUACCUGCAGAAUAAGCACCGGCUAACUACGUG